GGGUUUAGAGAUGGUUUCCUAUAGACCCUCGGCUCAAAAAAAGAGUUUCUGAAGCAGAUCUGCUAGAAAAAUAUGUCAGCAAAAGAGCAAGAGAUGAAGCAGGGAAGCAACAAAGAGUAAUAUACAUUAAAAAUAAGAGAACACACGACUACUUAAUAAUACUACUGAACUGAGGAAUACAGAGGAAACAUAUGUAUUUGUUGUCAUUCUCCUAAAUUAGCAAAAGAGAAUCUCAAGAACUAUUAUGAGAAUCCUCAAUUACAAUCUAAAAAUAUAAGUAUUAGAUAACUUUAAGCUCAAGAUUACACACUAAGAAGAGAAAGAGGCAAUUGAGAAAACUUGCCUAACGAAAAGAUUCGCAAUACUCAUAUCUCAUAAGUAGGUUGUCAGGUCAUUUGAGAAUCCUUGUUCUAGUAUCACACGAUCCAGUAUAAACCAAGCGCUAACUAUGAUAGCAAAAGAGAAUCUCAAGAACUUUAAGGGACCACAUUCCCAUCAACUUUUUGAACAAAAGUAAGCAAUUUCUUGUUUUUUUGGAUUAAAAAAAAGGGUAGAUAAAUCACUGACUUUUAUAUAAAGAACAUAGAAAUACACAUAACUGAAAAAGUCACAUUAGUUGAAAAUCGAGAAAUAGGAUCAACCUUUGUUACAAGGAUACUGCAGUUCUCCAGACUAUUGCACUAAGAAAAGUGAAUUUUGCACCUCCCAGACCAGCCAUGUGCAAUCUGUUAGUGGAUGGUCAUGAGGACUAUGCUAGAAACAUAUUUCACUUAUUCAACAAUGUUAAAAGCACUUGAUAAUGAAGAUUAGAUAUAAGUUUGUCAAGAAACAAUAGAGAUGGCUUAUGAAUUAUGUUAAUCUCGAUUGAGACUCUUCAUGUUCUCCCCAGUGCACUCCUUUUCUUCCUUCAUCUCCAAUGUAUUGUGUUAGCAUGCACAUAGAAAAAUACAUUUUGCAUUAUCAAAUUACGAAAAAAAUAACUUUGAAACUAAUGCUAUAACCUAUACAACAUGCUAUAUAACUUAACUCCUUUGGUUGAUAGUAGGACUUUUUGGGGUGUGGGGAUUUAAAAUGAAGAAAAUAGUGAAAAACUGUAGAAAUAGUAUUUUUAUUCAAAGUAUUCUGCUAUCACCUGUUUCUCCAUCCAUUAAGAUCGGAGUAUAUUUUUCUCAAGUGAUAGUUAUUAAAAAAAAAGCGUCAAAAACAUGAUAUUACUUCAAUCGGUUAUUCGUACUUUGAGUGUUGUUGUGUGAUUCUUCUAUGGUCUUAUCAUAAAAGACAAUAAUAUAGAUUUAAGCUUUAUUUUCAAGCAUCAUUGUAGAUUCCAAAUAUAUUGGGAUUCAUAUUAGGUGUACUGCAACAUUUGAAAGAUAAUACAUCUUUACAUGAGUAUAAUGGCUUUCCUUGAGUAUUUAAAAAGUUCAUGAACAGAUCUUGGCUAAUUAAGAACCUGAAAAAUGCACACUAUAAUUGCUUUACAUGUUUCAUUUCAAAAGCAACAGAAUAUAAAAGUUUAGAUUCCAUCUCUUACAAACAUAUCAUCAAUACAUUAGGUGCAUUAUCCGCCUCAAAUUAGUUGUUAAUCAACACAAAAUACAUCAAAAAGACACAAUGCAUGUGAAAAUCAGGAACAACUGCUAACAUGCAUAUAAAACUUCUAGUAGACAUUGUAAUCAAAGGAAUUAUAUCUCUCUAAUUUAUCAUGAUGAUGCAUCUUCAAGUGAUUGCAUAAUAUAUAUAGACUAGACUAAUUAGUUAAAUCCAACUACUAAUUUAAUAUAUUUUUUAACAUAAGCUUAUAUUAUAUUUAAGGAAAAUAAAAAAGAAGGGAACAUUUUAUUUUCCAAGUUGAGUACUUGGUUUGUGUAAAUUGUAGAAACUAGUUACAGUAGUCCGUGCUAGCACGGUUCCAACAUAUAUUUUUAUUUUUUAUUUUAAUUUAUGUGACAUUAAUAAAAUUUUAACGGUCAAACAAUUUUUUUGUAUGUUCUUUAAAUUUUAAGUUGUUGAUUAUUGUGGUUAAUAAUACUUUAUAUGUAAUUUUCAAUAUUCUCUUUGUCCCAAUUUAUGUGUCAUUGAUAGAAUUUCGAAAGUCAAGCAAAUUUUGUAUAUGUCUUUUAGAUUUUGAAGUUAUUUAAUUAUUAUGAGUUAUAGUACAUUUUACGUAUAUGUUACUUUUUCUAUCCCAAACUAUGUGACAUUAGUAGAAUUUUGAGAGUUGAUCAAAAUUUUUGUAUGUCCUUUAAAUUUUGAAGUUGCUAAUUAUUGUGUGAUUUGUAGUACGUUUCAUGUUAUUUCAAAUAAUAUAUGUUAUUUCCUCUAUCCUAAUUUAUAUGGCACUAAUAGAUUUGAGCUUCAACCAAAUUUUAUAGAUGUCUUUAUAAUAUUUUAGGGUUUAAUUACCUCUUUCUGAUUUUUAAUCCAUUAAUAUACUUUCUUCACAAUUAUCAGUAGAGCUACCUUUCAGUGUUGAUGGUUUAGCAACAUACCCUUAAAAGAACAGAGCAACGAAAGCUUCCUCUUAUUGUUUAUUGUGCGUCUUAUUAAGUAAAAAGUAUUCUAAUUAAUUCUACUAAAGAUUCACUAAUUGAAUGCUGAGAGAAAUUAAUUAAUGUGAGAAAAGUACUGAAAGAAAGACUUAAUCCUACUCCAUCCGUCCAAUAAUUAUUGUCUAUUAUACUAUUUUGGAAUGUCCUACAAUACUUGUCCACUUUAUGAAAUCAAUGGAUAGUUUACCCCUUAUCAUUAAUUAUAGUCAUUUUUCAAUUAUAUUUUUUAAUACAUUAUAUUUAUUAUAUUUAAAGAAUGAUAUAGUAAUAUUACUCUUUUAUUUAUAAUUUCUUAAAAAAUGUAUAAAGUCAAUACUGGAGAAAUAUUAUUGGUGAGAGAAUAGUUGAUAUCAGUCACCAAAGCAAUACAACUAAGUAGUAAUAAGUGGGGGGCAUGUUUUCAAAAAGUUGUGCGAAUUAUUUGUAGUUUUAAGGGGACAAAUUAGUCCAAUCGAUACAAAAAAGGAAAUGCAGCUGCACUACUCCUUUAACUAACCAAUUGAAUUACAUUUUUCAUGUGAAAUUACAAAAAUAACAUCUGAGGAUUUUUUUGUCAAGUCCCAUAAACGGGAAGCUCCUCACAUUCACUCUUAUUAAUAGUAGUAAUAAUAUAAUAAUUUUCAAAGUUGAAUUAGAUUGUAUUAAUUUGAUAUUUUAAACAAAAAAUUUAAAUAUGCAAAAUCUAUACAAAAAGUACUAUAAAUUGUAAUUUUUUGCAUAUGAAUAUGAUGAAAAAACAUAUUGUAAAAUAUUAGUUAAAAUUCUUAUAGUUUGACUCUAAAAGGAAAUACAUAACAAUUAAAAGUAGUAUAGAGAGAGUAAUAAAUAGGUAAUUAAAUUUCAAGAAGUUUAAAAAUAAAAGGUUGAAAAAAAGAAUAAGAUAGACAACAUAUAUUGAAAUUAGAAACAUAUAAAUAAUAAAUGGGCCCAAAUGAGGUCUAACUUUUCGGUCUAAUAAAGUAGUAGGUAAUUAAUGGUGUUAAUUGUCCAAUAAUAUAAAUUUUAAAGGUACAAUCAUAAAAAGAAGAAUGUACAACACUAUCUAAGCACAUAUCAUCCAACAGUACAUAUUCCCACUUAUUAUAUAUAGUAAAAAAUAUAGUGAAAUCUACGAAGAAAGAAACAUAACAAAAUAUUGUUAGUGCUAUCAGGCAUAUUAUCGAAUACCUUGAGUGCGCAAAGUGCCAUAGCAUAGAGAAGUAGUGAAAUAUGAAAUUCAUUUGCCAAAACUUCUCCAAAUAUUAACCCUUGCAAAAGAAGUAGAUUAGGAACAAUACAAAGGCAUGGAAAAAGUCUUCUAAAAACAGAGAA
This 3860-nucleotide long non-coding RNA is filed under the name Solanum tuberosum (potato). RNAcentral's name for it is "long non-coding RNA (STUB_LNC009591)". The record is from RNAcentral. Lineage: Eukaryota; Viridiplantae; Streptophyta; Magnoliopsida; Solanales; Solanaceae.